This 7811-nucleotide long non-coding RNA is filed under the name Podarcis lilfordi (Lilford's wall lizard). Lineage: Eukaryota; Metazoa; Chordata; Lepidosauria; Squamata; Lacertidae. The record is from RNAcentral.
AACCAUGCCAACUGCUAAUGCCACCCUUGACCUGAACUGUCAAGAGUCCUAACAGGUUGUGUUAUCAAAUCCUAGGUUUGAGGAGGGACCAAGGAUCAUCCACAUUGUAGCUGUGCUCCAUAUUGACGGGUCUCCUGAGAACAGCCUGUCUUAGUUGGCUACACAUAGGAAAACAAGCAGCAUAGGAAUACUGAGCUAGAUGGACCAUUGGUCUACACUCACUGGGAGGGUUUCAGGCAAGGAGUCUUUCCCAGCCCUACCUAGAGGUGCCAGGGAUGGAAUCUGAGACCUUCUGCAUGCACCUCUGAGCUAAAGCUCUUCCCCUUUCACCAGGACUGGCCUUAGGUUUGAGAAGGCACUGGGCAAAAUGCUAGGGUCUUGUUGGGCUUACUUUCCUUGUAGUAGUGGCGGCAGCCAGCCAGCCUCAAUGCUCUGGGAAGAAAUCGGACCUCAUUUUAUUUUCACACAAUUCCGCAGGCUAAUGCUAUACCAGGGACAUUGUAGGAUAUUUAAAUAGCUGCCAAGCACUGCUCAGUGCAUCAGACUUGGAGGGAAAUUGAGGGAUGUUCUGGUCAGGUGUCAGCAGUAGGCUCUGCUAGGUUGCUGGGACCCUGGCAGCAGUCCAAGGAUGCCAGGUUCUGACACAAGCCCUGGGGUCCACACUUCAGCCCUCUCUUCUUCACCCCCUUUUAUGGAUAGCAUCUGCUUCUGUGUGUGAUGGCCUGGGAUUCCGAUUCAGGGGCUGAACCGGAGGAAUCCCAGCCUGCACAGGAGUCCCCGCCUCCAGGGCCGGCUGAACUGGGGCAGGGCCUUGAUUCUGAAGCGCCUGCACCUGUGCCAGAUCCUCAGGAGCAGGCACCAGGUGAAUCCACUCUGGCUCCGGAGGUGGUUGAGGACUCAGUGCCUACAGGUGAGUCUCCCCCUGGGCACAGUAACCCUUCGGCCUCUCCUGAACUGCAGAGGUUCAGGGCAGAGAGGCGAAGGGAACUGGUUUCUCCCAGGAGGAGUGCUCGCCUUAAGGCCAGGAGAGGCGGGUCUCCUGGGGGCCGGGACCGCCCCUGGCCUCAGAGAAGAUACAAGGCCAGUCAGCCCGGUCCCAGGUUGUGGGAGCAACGUCGUCAAUGAGCUGUUUCGGCCAGCAUCCAGUCCUGUUCCCCCAGUGUUCCUGUCCCCACCCGGCUUCCUGCUUCGGACCUCACCUCGCUCCUUGAGAACUGUUUCCAGACCAGUGACCCAGGACCGGACUUUGACUACGCCAACGGUAACCUUCCCCCCGGGACCAGCACACUGUGUCUCUGGUGUCAUCAGCAAGAAAGGAAAGAUUGAUUCCUGUGCAGUUUUUCUCCUGAACUUUUGCUCUCCAGGAAUCAAUAAUUAAUGCGGCCCCAAGAUGGCAAGAGUGCACGUCCACAAUUACCUUCCCAUAGGUAGGCCGUGAAUGGUUCUUGGCAGAUGGACUGAUUGCACUUGUUACGUGUGAAAUGCCAUGUGCUUCCCUAGUCGGUUCUCGAGCUAAUCAAAUGCUCCUGCACAAAGAUCAGAUGCUCACUGCCUUGCAAAUGUUUGACCAACGGUAGCCUGCCUCGUGGAGAAAUGGGGGCGGGGUGUGUGUGCGCGCAAAGCAUAUAAAUCUCAUUAUGACAACGUGUCUAGUAAUGGGGUCUUCCAGGGUGCCUUUCAGCACAUAAAUAUUUCAGUGCUGCUUGCCAAAGCUAACUUUUAGAAUACUAUGCCCAUGUAAUUUUGUGUAAUUAUUACAUUUACAUCCAAUGAGCUCAAGGUGACAUUUAUUGUUUACCCUUCCCUGCUUUAUCCUCUCCUGUGAUGUAAGCUAGAAUGAGGGACAAUCACUGGCUCAGGGUCACCCUGUGAGUUUCAUGGCUGAGUGGGAAUAUGAACCCUGGUCUCCCAGGUCCCAAUUUGACACACUAACCAUUACACCACAUGCUAAUGUACCCAAAAGUUUAUUUCUGAACAAUUUCUUAAAUCUUUAUUGAUAAAUACUUGUCUGGGUUUGUACUAUUUGGUGGCAUUAUAUUUGUGAAACUGUGUUCACUGGGUACCUAACUAGGCCCAUUUGCAGUACCGUUGUGUUACUCAGGUGGGGCAGAGGGACACACUUCCUUCGCAGUGCGGAAAAUGACAUCAUACAAACAUUCCCUUUUUUCUGAAUCAAAUGACACCUUGUCUUUCCAACACAAACCUACCCUUGGAAUGAUCCUUGCUUCUGGCUGAGUUUGCUUCUUUUACUUGCUGUAUUGUAAUUCUGUUGUGUGCAUUGAUAGCCAGCUAUUGCCCCCUCUGAGACACUGUGUUUUGUGUGUCUGUCUGUCUCCAGAACCAGAUGUACAAAGUAAGGGCAAAAAGUCAGCUGCCACUUCCCAUCAUCCUUGAGGAUAAAUUGAGCAGAAAUUCAUUCAGGGGAUGCUUUAAAAAUUGCAUCAGUGCAGCACUCUUCCCUUUGCCCAGACUGGUCAGUAUGCUCUCUAGGUAUGAUACUGUGAUGAUUAAAAGGGACACGGGUGGCACUGUGGUCUAAACCAUUGAACCUCUUGGGCUUGCCAAUCAGAAGGCCGCUGGUUCGAAUCCCCGCGAUGGGGUGAGCUUUUGUUGCUCUGUCCCAGCUCCUGCCAACCUAGCAGUUCGAAAGCAUACCAGUGCAAGUAGAUAAAUAGGUACCACUGCGGUGAGAAGGUAAACGGCGUUUCCUUGCGCUCUGGUUUCCGUCACAGUGUCCCGUUGCACCAGAAGCGGUUUAGUCUAAGGUUACCCCGUUUCCAGGGGACAGUCCCCGGAUUUACAGAUCAGUCCCCAUGCAAAAUCCAUUGAAGUUGAAAAGUGUCCCCGGAUUCAUUGAAAAAAAUCUGGUAACCUUAGUUUAGUCAUGCUGGCCACAUGACCUGGAAAUCUGUCUGUGGACAAACGCCAGCUCCCUUGGCCUGAAAAGCAAGAUGAGCACUGCAAUCCCAUUGUUGUCUUUGACUGGACUUAACAAUCCGGGGGGUGCUAUACCUUUUUACCUUACUGUGAUGAUUGGGGUGGUGGUAGAUUUUGCCUAAAUGUGUUAUGAUUUAGUAACAGAAAUAAUGGUUUGAUUCAACUUUGCUAAACACAGAACCCCCCUUGGAUUUUGUUAUGGUAACCAGCCAAGAGGCAGAGCUAGCUGGAUGGCCCAUUAGCAGGGGACAAAGGCUAAUUGCCAGAAAUUGGAAAGGAGAAUUAUUACCAACAAAAGAGGAAAGGCAGAGUAAAUUAUUUGAAUAUCUCAAACUGGCAAAAAUGGCGAAGACAAUUAGGAGACAGCCAAACCAAAAGUUCAAAAAGAAGUGGGAAAUUUAAAAAGAAUAUUUAAAACCUGGACAUGCUUUGAUUAAUUUUCGCAAACCACAAUAUGGAUUAUAAGUAUAGUAUUCAGAUAACAGAAGAAAUGGCAAAAUGAUUAAAGAAGCAGUUUAUUAAACAGAUAAGACAGACCCGCAUUGAGGAAGACUGAAGUCUGUUGGGGAAGAUAAGGAAUUGGGAAUUAAGAACAUGGUGGCAUACGUUCUUUUGUAAGAACAUAUGGAUUUAUGGAUGUAUGUAUGUUUUUUAUUUUUGUUAAUUUCUUGUGUGUGUUUGUUAAGUAAGAAAACUAAUAAAAAGCAUAUUUUUUAAAAAAGACUAGUGAUGGCCCAUCAAGGAAACCAUCAGAGGGCCAGACUGUUGGGCAAGGGGACGUAGGGCCCCUUAUUUGUUGGGUGGCAGUGGGCAGAGGCAAAGGUUGGGUUUAAAGUUUCAACCUUGAAUGGUUGAUAGGAGGUCCUGGGAGUCAGCAGAAAGAAGGAGAGGAAGGAGCAGAACUCCAUGUGAAUUGGGAACGAUAGGAAGGAACGAAGAAAGAGGAUGGCUUUUUGCUAUCCUUCACAUCCAAUGCUGCCCUUAUGCGGGAAGCCAGACCCUCAUAGGAUGUGAAUGCGCUGCAAUCCCUCCAUCUAAGUUAAGGUUGUAUAUAUGUGAGAAUAAAACCAUACAUCAUGAAGACACUGCAGUCUCUGCUGUGCUUUAUUCCCCAAAGGAAACACAUACCCUGGGUAAACAUCUGGAAUCUUGUGCUGCUGGUGGAGAUUGGGGUGGGGUGUAACAAUAUUUUAGGUUUUGUGACAUGUUUGUCUUCCUGCUGGAUAAUGUGUAAAAUGAGUUGCCUUGCUGGAAAAGAAGGUACAGCAACUUGAGGCACACAACUUUAAUCUACAGGACAAGAUACUGAGUUUCUUGAUAGAGAUGAGUGGACUGUGCUGGAACAGCAACAUAGGUAGGACGCCCCUACAGAGAAGGAAGACCACCCAUUGCAAGAAACGAACCCCUGGAGGAAUGUGGCUCACAGAAAUGGGAUUGUCAGGAGCCAUGCUGUGUUAUUAAGUCGGCAAAAUCGAUUCCAUGCCCUCAUCUUGGAUUCUGGGCUAGAGGAGCUAGGAAAGCAGCCGCUGACCUCAGAAUACCCUGAGGUGACUGUGAAAGGUACAAUGCUCAGAACUGAUUCCUGCCCCCACCUCAAAAGGAGGAAAAGACAGGAGGAGAUGGACUUGGAGGAGCCGUUUUCCAUUCUUCACCUAAUCCCUUCAAGAUCUAAGACUACUGAUCAUGGAUGAUAACCAACUUGCUACCUUUCAAGGAAAUGAUCUCAGAAAAAGGGAAUUGCAGUCUGGAGAAGGCAAGUUCAAAGGAAGGAGUAGGAAGAACUUGAACCAUAAGGUUCCUGACUUUGUAACCUAUCCCAAUAAUACCCAGAUAAGAACCAAUAGACAAGAAGGAAAGUCUCAAGGACAGCAGUUGCAGACUAUAGAAAUCAUUGAUGUUGCUUUGGAAAGCACAGUGUAUGGAACAAUUCCUUCUACUCCCCAGAAUAGACAUGUGGUAGGUAGACUCCCUAUUGAGAGCGACAGAGACAGUAGUGUGCAAAGGAAACAGGAUAUCCCGGGAGGUGUGCUAUAUUCCAGGUGCAAAGAUUCACAAUGAGAGAGAGAAGUUGCCAAGUCUUAUAAAGCCAACUGACCACAACCCCUUCCUUCUAUUUCAUGUGGGUCCUAACUAAACAUCAGGAAAAACUUUCUGACAAUAAGAGCAGUUUGGCAGUGGAAUGGUCUCCCUCAGGAGGUUUUGGACUCUCCUUCCUUGGAGGUUUUUAAGCAGAGGUUGAAUGGCCAUCCAUCAUGGAAGCUUUAGCUGAGAUUCCUGCACUGCAGGGGGUUGGACUUGAUGACCCUCAAAGUCCUUUCCAAUUCAAAAAUUCUGAUUCUAGGUCUUGGAUUCCCAAUGCCACCCAGGAGAGGGUUCCAUAUUCUCUUUAUUUAUCUGUGUGUUUUCUUCCACAAAUGACUUCGUGAAAUUCUGGGUUUUUCAGGAGACACCAUUUCCAGGGAUUUGUAAGAUGCUAGAUGCUGAGGCGCCAGAGCCAUGCCUCGUCUGUUCUGUGUGACUAAGAUUAAGACUCUGAAAAGAAAGUAGACCUCCGUAGCCCAUUGAGGCAGCUACUUACUUUUGUCCACUUCUAAAGCAGUACCUGUAAUCAGCACUUUCUAUGCCUAAGUAAAGCCAGCUUCUCAGUUCUACAUUCCCAAUACAAACACUGAAGGAAUUAAAGAUGCCUAUGGACUGUUAAUAGUCAGCCUGCUGUAACGUGCUCUGUGUGGGUGCAGAAAGCUGUUACAAGAUUUCUAAGUGGUAUAAUACAAUGGUAUCCUAAAACACAGAUUCUUCAGGAUCCAUGGGGCCAGAGGCGAAAGCAGGUAAAGCAGCUGAUGCAAAUCUCACCUUUCUGCAGUAGGCUGAGUCACACUCACACAUCCCGUUGUGUCUUCCGUCCAGACAAGCAAGAAGCAUUGUCAGAAUUCAAGUACACACUCCAGCCAGGCAAAAUAAAGGCAGUGUGUGGGAUGAGAAGGGUGUGCUGAGGAAGCAGCGUACAUUUGUUGCUUGGUCCACAUUUUCCUCAGGCACCACCCACCACUUGGAUGUGGCCCCUGGAGGGUUACCCAGAUAGGAAUGUGGCCCUUGGUAUGAAAGCAGUUCUCCACCCCUGGCUCAAAGUAUCCUGGAGGUGGACAUGGUGGGCUGGCACCCUUAAGCAGCAGCACCGCUGCUAGGACAUUUUGUUGCAGGUUGUUGUUGUUAAUUUAGUUUAUAUACCACCCUUUGUCCAAAGAUCUACUUGCGCUUUGACAUGCUUUCGAACUGCUAGGUUGGCAGGAGCAGGGACUGAGCAAUGGGAGCUCACCCCAUCACGGGGAUUCGAACUGCCGACCUUCUGAUCGGCAAGUCCUAGGCUCUGUGGUUUAACCCACAGCGCCACCUGAGUCCCUCUAAAAGCAUCCUGACAGACAACCUAAUAAUAAGUUAGUCAUCAAGAUAACAAUCCUCUCCCCAACACUUUUACAGGCCAUAGUUUAUGUAAUAGCCAAAGACCUGGGUAAAGAGGAAUGUUUUUGCCGGGUGCCUAAAGACAUGUAAUGAAGGCACCAGGUGAGCCUCUCUGCGGAGAGCGUUCCACAAUUGGGGAGUCACCACAGAAAAGGCCCGUUUUCUUGUUGCCACCCUCUGAACCUCUGUGGGAUGGAGGAUAUAGAGAAGGGCCUCAGAUGACAAGCACAGGGUAUGGGUUCAUAUGGGGAGAGGCGAUCCAUAAGGUGUUGAUCCUUAAGUUUCCACUUUUAACAAUAAUAACAAAUAUAAAACUACAAUUUAUUAUGAUUAUUCUUUUGGGAAUAGGCAUGCUUGUGGAAUUCAGCUGUGAAUUCUGAUACAACUGACCUAAUCCAUACUUACUGAGUUAAUAUGCAGGUCGAAAUGUCAGCUAUAUGUUUAAAGCAUGUGAUUUCCCCCAGAGAAUCAGGGGAACUGUAGUUUAUCAUUCCCAGCACCCUUAACAAACUGCAGUUCCCAGGAUUCUCUGGGGAAAAUAUGUGCUUUACAUGUAUGAUGUGUAUGCUGCCCUGCUUAUCAACCACAUUUCACACGCCAAGUUUAUUGGCUCAAAAAUGAAUAAAUCAACAAUGCAAAUAUUUAAAAUGCAAAGUUUUAGAAUUAAUGUGUUAAGAUAUGCGUAUUUUGUGAGAAAAUACAUUUUAAAAUGCAUUAUUUAAAUGUGUAAAAUGUUUAAAUGCGUUUAAAAUGCAUAAUUUAAAACUUUUUUUUGCAGAUUAAAAAAAUCACAGAUUUAUGCAGAAACAGGAUGGAAUGACCUUAGGUGACACACACUUUGAAUAGACAGAUCCAUUCCAUCCCUAUUCAGGAAUCUUCACAAUAAAAAGGCAGGAUGUGGAAAAACCCCCCCAGUAAAUCUCUAGUUUACACCUGGCCUACUUCAAAGGGUUGUUGUGAAGAUAAAAUGGGAGGGGAAACCUCUAAGAGGAAGGGUGGCAUGUAAAUGGAAUGAGUAAAAACCCAGAGUGAAAUAUAUGCUAGCAACCCAAGGGAAAAAUGUGUCAAAGCAUUAGAAAGGAACCUGGCUCAUCAGAAAUGUUAUUUAUAGAAGCCUCCAAAGCCACUGUAAGCCCUAAUUGGUGCCAAGGCUGCUUCAAAGGAUUUCUGUGAAAUCCUCACAAAUAGAGCGACACCAUCCUCAGCCAUUCAGCUGGGGAAUGCAAUAUUAAAAGAAUGGCAGUGGGCUGGGGGGGAUAACUUGAUAAAGGUUGCAAACACAGAGAAGGGAAAAGACAACAAAACAUCCACUUCUCCAAUUUAAAACCCAAUCACAAAUCCUGCUUGCAGCUGCACUGUGACAAAUUGUGUGCUCAUAAAUAAAUUCUAGAGGCUUUUUUAAGGAACCGACACUG